AUGUUCUCUUUGGCAGCCUAUAUACUAAAAUUCGAAUGAUACAGAGAAGAUUAGCAUGGCACCAGUACAAGCUGGUUUGGGGUGAUGGGAAAGCUCCACAGUACAG
Falco peregrinus (peregrine falcon) is the source of this 106-nucleotide small nuclear RNA. The record is from RefSeq and is a predicted model, not a curated record. Lineage: Eukaryota; Metazoa; Chordata; Aves; Falconiformes; Falconidae.